Molecule: ribosomal RNA, 488 nt
Filed under: Microascales sp. SSR-2012a
Lineage: Eukaryota; Fungi; Ascomycota; Sordariomycetes; Microascales
Description: eukaryotic LSU rRNA
Rfam family: Eukaryotic large subunit ribosomal RNA
Source: RNAcentral
AGUGAAGCGGCAACAGCUCAAAUUUGAAAUCUGGUCACCUUACGGAGGCCCGAGUUGUAAUUUGAAGAGGAUGCUUUUGGCGAGGUGCCUUCCGAGUGCCCUGGAACGGGACGCCACAGAGGGUGAGAGCCCCGUAUGGUUGGACACCGAGCCUAUGUAAAGCUCCUUCGACGAGUCGAGUAGUUUGGGAAUGCUGCUCAAAAUGGGAGGUAAACCCCUUCUAAAGCUAAAUAUUGGCCAGAGACCGAUAGCGCACAAGUAGAGUGAUCGAAAGAUGAAAAGCACUUUGAAAAGAGAGUUAAACAGCACGUGAAAUUGUUGAAAGGGAAGCGCUUGCGACCAGACUUGCGCCCGUCGGAUCAACCGUCGCUUGUCGGCGGCGCACUCCGGCGGGCUCAGGCCAGCAUCAGUUUUCCCGGGGGGAGAAAGGCGGUGGGAAUGUAGCUCCUAGGAGUGUUAUAGCCCGCCGCGUAAUACCCUCGGGGGGA